GCACUACUUUUCUCAACUAUUGCACCCUAUAUUGGGUGGGCCGGUUCGCCGGCUAUGGAAAUAAAUUGCCGUCGCAAUAAACCAUUCGGACCCGGGGGCAGUACCCGGCGCCUCCACCAAAACCCGCCGAAGGCGGGCUUCGGCGGGGGCGAACCAGGAUCGACGAGGGCGUAAAGGGCGUGUUUUUUCCCGGUAUGGUUCCGCCGUUAUCGGGCUAUGCAAUAGUUGCAAACGACAACUAUGCUCCGGUUGCUCAGGCUGCGUAACGCAGUUUGAAAGACCAAAUCUAAAGUCCUGAUGGGUUAAGCUCCGUCAGGCGGGGUUCGGAGGCACCUGGCA
This 339-nucleotide transfer-messenger RNA is filed under the name Bradyrhizobium sp. RNAcentral's name for it is "partial transfer-messenger RNA". It matches the Rfam family "Alphaproteobacteria transfer-messenger RNA". From Rfam's summary of the family: Bacterial tmRNA, also known as 10Sa RNA or SsrA, is named for its dual tRNA and mRNA-like properties. Its role is to liberate the mRNA from a stalled ribosome. Lineage: Bacteria; Pseudomonadati; Pseudomonadota; Alphaproteobacteria; Hyphomicrobiales; Nitrobacteraceae. The record is from RNAcentral.